Molecule: ribosomal RNA, 788 nt
Filed under: Funneliformis geosporum
Lineage: Eukaryota; Fungi; Glomeromycota; Glomeromycetes; Glomerales; Glomeraceae
Description: SSU rRNA
Rfam family: Eukaryotic small subunit ribosomal RNA
Source: RNAcentral
UGUUAGGGCACGACACCGGAGAGGGAGCCUGAGAAACGGCUACCACAUCCAAGGAAGGCAGCAGGCGCGCAAAUUACCCAAUCCCGACACGGGGAGGUAGUGACAAUAAAUAACAAUACAGGGUUCUUUUGGAUCUUGUAAUUGGAAUGAGUACAAUUUAAAUCUCUUAACGAGGAACAAUUGGAGGGCAAGUCUGGUGCCAGCAGCCGCGGUAAUUCCAGCUCCAAUAGCGUAUAUUAAAGUUGUUGCAGUUAAAAAGCUCGUAGUUGAAUUUCGGGAUCAAUGUUUCGGUCAUGCCGUUGGUAUGUACUGAUAUUAUUGAUUUCUCACCUUCUAAAGAACCGUAAUGCCAUUAAUUUGGUGUCACGGGGAAUUAGGACUGUUACCUUGAAAAAAUUAGAGUGUUUAAAGCAGGCUCACGCUUGAAUACAUUAGCAUGGAAUAAUGAAAUAGGACAUCCGAUUCUAUUUUGUUGGUUUCUAGGAUCGAUGUAAUGAUUAAUAGGGAUAGUUGGGGGCAUUAGUAUUCAAUUGUCAGAGGUGAAAUUCUUGGAUUUAUUGAAGACUAACUACUGCGAAAGCAUUUGCCAAGGAUGUUUUCAUUAAUCAAGAACGAAAGUUAGGGGAUCGAAGACGAUCAGAUACCGUCGUAGUCUUAACCAUAAACUAUGCCGACUAGGGAUCGGAUGAUGUUAAUUUUUUAAUGACUCAUUCGGCGCCUUACGGGAAACCAAAGUGUUGGGAGUUAGUUCUAUCCUACCAUCGAAAAGUUAGUUCUAUCCUACCAUC